UCCAACAACGACCCAACACCAUCCUCUCUCUCUCUCUCUCUCUCUCUCUCGUUACUAUUUUUAUUUUCUCAUUGUUUGAAAAGUCCCUCGGAUACUCUGCACGACUCUUUCAGCUGGAACUUUUAUCGAAUACCUCGCAGUAGACCUCACAUUUUCUUUGCUGCCAGAGAGCUUCAGCUUCGCUUCCUCCAAAUUCACGACAUUUUGCUCAGGAAAAAAAGAAUAACGACAUGGCGUAUGUCGACCACGCUUUCUCCAUUACCGACGAGGAUAUCAUGGUGGAGUCGUCGUAUACGGUCAACAAUAAACCUCCGAUCAAAGAGAUCGCUCUCGCUGUAGCGCUCCUCGUCUUCGGUACCCUCGGCAUCAUAAUUGGUAUAUUAAUGGCUUACAACCAUGUCGGUGGCGAUCGAGCUCACGGUCUUUUCUUUGCAAUACUUGGGGCGAUCUUGUUCAUUCCGGGUUUUUAUUACACGCGGAUUGCGUAUUAUGCUUAUAAAGGAUACAAAGGCUUCUCUUUCUCAAACAUUCCACCUGUGUAGCUCGCAUGAGAUUAGCUCUCAACUUCCGACUUUUGUCCUUUUCUUCCCAUGAAAUUCCCAGGUAAAGGGAAAGAGGAUAAUAUCGGGGCUGCAAAAGAGUUGAAAAUGUGCAAGCUUUUUGGGAUUGUUUUAUGAUAAUAAAGGUAACAACUGAAUGGUGAACAGUGAGGGAAAGAGGGAGGGGCAUGUAAAAGAGAAUUGGUAGCAGAUAUGUUUGUGGUGGUGGGUCUGAGUAUGAUGUUUACUAAAUGCUGAUAAAUUUACAAAGUAAACUUGGACAUAUUUGAAUUCGAGAAAUAAAUGAGGUUAAUAAUGAAGGUUAGGUCAAUUUUGACUUUUGAUUUCGUGAUUGGAAGUCAGAUUAGCAUUAAAAAGUUUUAAAGUCAAGUAGGUCCAAAACUAGUCUAUAUAGGAUUUUGUACAAUUUUUAUAUGGUCGACUGUACAUGUAGUUUGGUUGUGUAAGUAUUAUCUUUAGGGGAGAAUCCUUGGGAGUUUAUUUAUUUAUUUAUUUUGUUUGCUUAAAUGAUUUUACAAAGAAGGCUCCUUCCUCUUGUUCAUGAAAAAUAAAAAAAGAAUAAAUGAGGUUGAAAAAAAAUAUAUGUAUGCACUAUUUUAUCCUUAGCUUGUAAGAAAUUCAUUUUCAAUUUGACAAAAGCUUGUUUGGUUCAUGAUGUAAUUACUGUACAGUUAUUUAUAUAAGAAUAUGCUUUCUAGGAA
Ziziphus jujuba (common jujube) is the source of this 1261-nucleotide RNA transcript. RefSeq lists it as uncharacterized. Lineage: Eukaryota; Viridiplantae; Streptophyta; Magnoliopsida; Rosales; Rhamnaceae. The record is from RefSeq and is a predicted model, not a curated record. The transcript is spliced from 3 exons.